Molecule: ribosomal RNA, 253 nt
Filed under: uncultured prokaryote
Description: partial 16S ribosomal RNA
Rfam family: Bacterial small subunit ribosomal RNA
Source: RNAcentral
UACGUAGGGUGCGAGCGUUAUCCGGAAUUAUUGGGCGUAAAGAGCUCGUAGGCGGUCUGUCGCGUCUGCUGUGAAAUCCCGAGGCUCAACCUCGGGCUUGCAGUGGGUACGGGCAGACUAGAGUGCGGUAGGGGAGAUUGGAAUUCCUGGUGUAGCGGUGGAAUGCGCAGAUAUCAGGAGGAACACCGAUGGCGAAGGCAGAUCUCUGGGCCGUUACUGACGCUGAGGAGCGAAAGCGUGGGGAGCAAACAGG